Molecule: transfer-messenger RNA, 353 nt
Filed under: bacterium
Lineage: Bacteria
Also listed under: 1 other name
Description: JAGOEH01 sp017997825 Standard tmRNA
Rfam family: transfer-messenger RNA
About the family: Bacterial tmRNA, also known as 10Sa RNA or SsrA, is named for its dual tRNA and mRNA-like properties. Its role is to liberate the mRNA from a stalled ribosome.
Source: RNAcentral
GGGGGCGAAUUUGGUUUCGACGGGGAAGAAGAGAUACCAGCUGCAUACCGAGGACCCUGAGGCCUCGUAAAAACAGGGAACCCUUUAAGUGCGAACGAAAGUUCCUACGCUCUGGCUGCCUAAUUAGCGGCCACCUUUCAGAUUUCUUUCCUUGCCGGGAAAUCUGUCAGGUCGGACUGGCAAGGUGCGGAACCGUCUCCGUCCGAGGACGUUUCUCAAGACCUUUCGGGCUGGUCCGGCGCAUAGGCUGCCUGCCGUCGAUGCUCCGGACGAGAACCAAAGACAGGAUAAGUAUGUAGAUGCUGCUAUUGAAGCUUCAUCGGACGUGGGUUCGACUCCCACCGCCUCCAUUC